UAUUCAUCUGCGUGGAACAAUACACGAAAGUCGAGUUCCGUUAGUUAGUAUACCAAGCAUAAGCAACUACCCUGUGUACAGUGAAGUUAUGAUAUGUAGAUUCUUGUAGCUAGAAAACAACGAUGCGUUACGAGAUUUUAGACGAAGCUUACGAGGAACUGCGAAGUUAUGCUCAACGGACACGCUCUGGUGGAGUUUUCAAUGACGUAACCGUACGUGUUGGUGAAACAGACAUUCCUUGCAACAAGUUAGUCUUGGCUUGCUACUCUUCUUAUUUCGAACAUCAAAUUUACACCGACAAAGACUGUACGGAAAUAGUUUUGAAAGGAAACUUAUCGGCAGACUUGGUGGCACAUCUCAUUGAGUAUAUAUAUGGUCAUGAACUUAUACUUACAAAGGAGAAUGUUUUAGAUAUUUUGGAAUGCGCAGAUUUCUUGCAAAUAGAAGCGGCAAGAGAAGAUUGCUUAGAGUUUAUGACGUCUAUAGUUGAACACAAGAAUUGCUUUCAACUAUGUUUGCUCGGUUUGACACACAACAGUAGGAUACUUAUCGAUGCUGUAAACAAGUUUAUCUCCGCCGAAUUUAAAACCCUUCUUUCAACCAAAGAGUUCUCCUUCUUGUCUCUGUCGGAAUUACAAUAUUAUAUGGACAGACGCACCCUCCAAAACAUUACUGAGGAGAGCAGAUACAGCGCUGUGUUGGCUUGGGUAAAAGCUAAUCGUUUAACUCGAACACGCUACCUUCCUGUUUUGCUUGAAAAUCUUGAUUUUGGCAGGUUUUCAAACCAGUUUAUCCAAUCAAUAAUAUGCAGUGAGAACCUUAUACGAAAAAGUAAAAGGUGUCUUAAUCUGGUAAUAGACGAAGUACAGAAGUGGGAAAGUCGAAAAGAAGAUGUAGAUUUUAAAUUUAUGGUAUUGGGAAGCGCGAAAUCACCAAACACAAUACGAUCUUAUUCCCUUAAUGGUGCAGCUGAAGAUACUUAUCUGGUGUGUGACGCAAAGAUUGCUGUACCAGACAUCCUUUGCUCCGCUUUUGUACAGUACAAGGGUUUAUUAUAUAAGUUAGGUGGCCAGAGUGCUUCGAGUCAUAUGGAAACAUCUACAGUUUUUACAAUGUUUACUUGCCACAUGAAGGUUUCUGUUGUUCCAGUUAGUAUCGAUUCAAUGUGGUAUAGGAAACAGUGCGCAAGUGCCGCCGUACUAGAUGAUAUACUUUACGUUGUUGGUGGGUUCAACGCAUUAUUGCGACAUAUGAAUAUUGUUGAGUGUUAUGACUUCAAUCUCCGUCGCUUCUGGAAGCAUUUACCAGCUCUUCAUGAAGGACGAAGUGGUCACUGUUUGGUGGCGUUAAAUGGGUGUUUGUACUGCAUUGGCGGUCGAUGCGAUGAAAGAUACUUAGCUUCUGUGGAAAUGUAUGAUCCCAUGUUACGCAAGUGGUUUAAAAAAGAGCCGAUGAUUCAACCACGCUGCUGGUUUGCUGCAUUGGUCAAAGGGAAUUCAAUCUACUGCUUUGGUACGAAUCAACUAUAUAUAUAGUAGAGCGGGGUGGUAGCAAAGAUGGGAUAUCUGCGAAUCGCACGUUAGAGCGUUACGAUGCUGAUUGGGACAUGUGGACACUGUGUCAAAGUAUGAAACAACCAAGAGUUGGUCAUGCUGCCUGUUGGUUAAACGGAAGUAUCGUUGUAACUGGAGGGAUUGAUUGCGACGGAUCAUUUGUCAAAGAAGUUGAAACGUACAACCCAACCAACGAUGUGUGGACUGUUCACGGUACUAUUGAUUCUAACUUGUUCCUCCACGCAAUGUUUCCCAAAGAAGAUACUUCUGACGCAGGCGCACAUCAGUUGUCAGAGAGUUCGCAUUUAGACAAUAGGGUUCAGCUUGGGAGACAGUCGUCGCCGCCAUCGAUGCGGGAGUUUGAGUUUUUGGCAAAGACAUCACCUGGUUCAACGUUCCUUAGUGCCAGUGGUGACAAAUAAGUCGACCAAAGUUUGUAAAACGAAACUGCGAAUAAGAAGGUGAAUAAAAGCAAUAACCAAUAACAGAACUCCAUGCUAUAAUCACCGUCGCCCCCCCCCCCCCACGAGAAGAUAAUAAAGUUACUUUUAUCCAAUUUUGUGCUAUAUUUCUAAUUGAACGAUUCUCGUUGAAUCAUUCAGAAAUCGUCAACAAAUUUCUGAGUAAUCGAGCGAUGGUUAACAUUAAUUGACAAAUUAAACAGUUAAAAUAGUGACAAGAACUUGCCUUAUGUGUUUGGUCUUGAUUUUCUUCGUGUUUUUUUACUAAUAAAAUACUUCUCUCUACUAA
Non-coding RNA from Ciona intestinalis (vase tunicate), 2303 nucleotides. NCBI's taxonomy places the organism in Eukaryota, Metazoa, Chordata, Ascidiacea, Phlebobranchia, Cionidae. The record is from RefSeq and is a predicted model, not a curated record.